UCUACAUAACUGUAUUUUAUUUUUUAAUGAAAAAACAGAAAGUAUAAUGCUAAAAAAUUAAUUUAAAAAAGAGUCCUACGUUGGGUUCGAACACGCACUACUGGGUAAAACCCAAUCAUCUCAACCACUUACACAAUCAACUCACUUGGUAGUGUGGGUGACAAGCAUAAUAAUUAUACGUUAACUGAUACAUAUAUACAAAUAUACACAUAAAUAUACAGGGUUUCAAUCGAGAAGUGCGGGUGCCGUGACACCCCAAUCCACUUACAUAGAUCCGUCCCUGCCCGUAAACAGGGGCGGAUCUACAUGGGGUUCACGGAUGGCAUGGCACCCGCAAACUUCGAUCGGAUAACUGUGUGUAUAUAUAUAUAUAUAUAUAUAUAUAUAUUGAAUAAAACUGGUAUAUUAUUUAAGUGCCACCCGGUGCAGCAGUUGAGAAAGUAGUGCCAGUGGCAAACGCGCUGAAAUUUCACAUAGUAUACUAGAGUUCAAGUCUAGACGCCAGCAGUAUUUUGUUACUUUUUUGUUCGUUCUUCUAUUUUCUAUAAGUUUUUUUCCUCUUGACUUAAUCUUUGUUUGACUCCUUUUUUUUUUGGGUAAUCUUUGUUUAAGAAUUUUUAACUUAAGUGUAGAACAUAAUUGAAGAUUCCUUCUUCCUUCAAAUUUAUAGUUAACCUCUCCUCGUAAAUCAUAAUAAUGAUGCUUGGCAUGAUGUUAUAAUUUCUUAACAAUAGAAUUGGAAAUAUCCAUUGAAUGUUGGCAACUAUUUUGUCUGACAACUAUUUUGUACUUUUACGUUGACUGAUAAGUUAAAUUUAACUCUUGUUUACACAAUUUAUAGUAAUAACAACAACAACGAUAACAAACCCAGUGUAUUCCCACAUAGUGGGUUCUGAGGAGGGUAAAAUGUAUGCAGUCCAUACACUACCUCCGGAAAAGUAGAAAGGUUGUUUUCAAUAGUAUUUAUAAGAAUAAUCACAUUUUUAUUAUUUGAUCUAUUUGUCUAUACAAAUUGAAAAGAUAAAUAAUCAAAUCGAAACCCAAAGUCUAUAAAAUCGACAAAAUAUUCAUCUUAUUUGGAGCAGUGUAAAUAGCAAAGCGUAAAGCAAAAAAUUAAUUGAUUUCCAGCUGAAUACGUAAAAAUUAGGUUCUUCGAUAAUGUUUCUAUGAAAUUUUCCUUCAAAAAUUUCUUACUAACAAGCCAAAUUCCAAUGGCACGCCCAUAAAAAAUAUCAUUUUUGAGUAAUAGCUUUAACGUUAAAAGUGACAUGGCACCCGCAACCUUAAAAUCCUAGAUCCGCCUCUGCCCGUAAACAUGGAUGAAGGGAUUGUUUUAUAUUUUGUGUGCUACUUAAUGAACAAAAGAUGAACAGAUCAGUGACAACGACACAAAACCAAAUCAUGUAACUUCAAAUCCAAUUAUAAGAACCUUUUUUUUAAUUAUUCAAACUAGAGUAUUUCUUUUUUCCUUCUUGAAAUUAAAAUGGUCAUAUUAUAGUCCAAAUUAAAAUAGCCCCAGUAAAAUUAAGUAUAUAUCCUUCAUGUACUGCAUGUUGUAUUCUUCAACUGAGCCUCAAAUGACUUGUUAACUUUUUGACAAGUUUGACUACACAUGACCUCAUUAUAUCCCUAAAAAAUAAAAAUGCAUGGUUGAUUUGAUUUCCAAAGAAACUAGAGGGGUUACAACAACAAUAUACGAAGUAUAAUCUCAUAAGUGAGAUAUGGAAAGGACGGUGUAUGCAAAUCUUACUCCUAUAAAGAGGUUGUUUUUAAUAUAUUCUCGACUAAAAUAGAAGGAUUGAAACCAAAAAUAGAAAAAGAAACGCGAUUUGUCCGCUUUUAAUUAGAGGAGAAAUUGUGAAAUUCUUCAUAGAAAGUGUUGUAUUGGGCAGACAAUCCGUAUGUUUAUAUACUACACUUCAAUCCAAGUUCAAGAAUGUUUCAAGAAUAACAAUGAAGUUUUUAACACCUUCAACACAAGUUCAACAUGAACUAUCAAAAAAGUAUGUUAUCUAAAAGAAAUAAGAUGAAGUAGAAACAUAAUCAAGUCCUCCGAUUCACGGAGUAUCCUUAAGGAAUUAAUUCCCCUUAAGUAUCUGAGGUUGCGAAAUUUUUCCUCCAAGAAUAAAAUGGCUCACAAUCUGAAUGUAGCGGUACCUCAAACCUUCAGAUUCUUCGACACACUCAACGACUGAUGAUCACAAAGAUUUUUUGAAAGUAGAAGAGUGUUUUUCAAUACUGAAAAUUUCGUACAUACUUGAGGAAAAAGUUCAGGUAUUUAUAGCCAUCAAGUGCCCCUUCGGAAAGGAAGCAAUGGUUCAUGGAAAGGUGUAUCACUUUGGGACAGUCAUGUCUGUCCAUUUUGAAACAGUGUGUCUUUUCUGAACAGUCAUGUUAGAUCGAACAAUCACCCCUUUUUCAAAAUAGUUUGUCAUUUUCUCGAAAGGUUGCAUCCCUUUCGAGGUGCGUUUCUGCAUGCAUAUUCAUGGAGAAAAUAUUUUUCGUUGGAUUUUUGGAUUAAAAAUUUUACUUAUUUUUUCAAGUUUCAAAUGAAUUUUAUCUAUUUUCCAAAUUCAAAUCCAAAUUUGAAGCCGAAGCCAAAGCCGAGUCGAGCGAUCGAUGACGACAAUAAUGCGAGACACCUCUUGGUUCUUGCCCCACUAUCCACUUGAAGGAGUGUUUCUUAAUAAAAACACAAUAAAGUUAUUUUCUCCCACCAAUAUGGGAGAAGUAGACUUUCCUUUAGUGAGUACACUUUUCGUUUAAGUGUGAGUUCACUUUUCCUCCAAAAAUUCCCUCAAUUUUCCACUCACACAUCGUAUUGAACCCAACAAUCCCCCAUAUGAAUGGGAAAUGACUAUUCUUUAUAAAAUUUUAUGAAAAACUAUGUGAUCUGCAAGCAAAGACUGAUUGCAUCUGGAUAAGUGGGUUUCCCUUUGAACUUUCUGUAGUGAACAUGGAUCGAAUACACUCGGUCAAUCGGUAGAUUUGAUAUACUUGAACCGGAGAACUUUAGCGUACACCUAGACAACACAUGUCACACAACCAGCCUUUUACCAUUUAUGGUUCUCACGAUUUUGUUUGUUUCAGCCAUGAACACGACUUGAUUUUAUGAGAGCGUAUAGAAUAGGCCUUUACUAACAUUCUCGUUGAAGCGGCUUCCACUCACCCUCACAUAGGUAUUUCUAAACGUUCAAUCCUAUAGAUUAAACUAUUUGGUCAAAUCUGUCAAAUCUAGAUAAUCAUUAAAAAGCUUCACAUCAUAAGUCUUAUCCUUGUUUAUUAAACAUUGUCUACAUCAUGAGAAUGAGUUGGGUAUACUGACAAUGUUGAACCAUCAGUCAUAACUUUGUUUGAUCUCCUUGAACCUAGCUCUUGGGAUCUCCAGUCUGCUAGGUAGAUUUACCGUCAUGCUGACUUGUCCUAGGCCGUAAACCCAUUCCCUUCGAUGUUCUCUCAACUCCUUCUCUAGAUAGGCCUUUUGUAAGUGGAUCCGACACAUUAUCCUUUGACUUCACAUAGUCAACAGUGAUAAUUCCACUAAAGAGAAGUUCUCUAAUGGUAUUAUGUCUCUAUCUUAUAUGACGAGAUUUAUCGUUAUACAUCAUGCCCCUGUCUUACCUAUCGCGCUUGGCUAUCAUAGUGUAUACAUACUGGUGCUAAUGGCUUAGCCAAUAAGAAAUAUCUUCCAAGAAAUUCUGGAGCCAUUCAACUUCUUCACCUGCUUUAUCUAAUGCGAUAAAUUCAGAUUUCAUUGUAGAGCGAAUAAUACAUGUCUUUUUGGACUAUUUUCAAGAGACUGCUCUACCAUAUACAGUAAAUACAUAUCCACCAGUGGAUUUACUUCAUUCGAUCUGAUGAUCCAUUCGAAUAAUACAUGUUUUUUUGGAUGAUUUUCAAGAGACUGCUCCUCCAUCUACAGUAAAUACAUAUCCACCCGUGGAUUUACUUCAUUCAAUCUGAUGAUCCAAUUUGCAUCACUAUAUAUUUUCAUUACCACUGGAUAUUUAUUACAAUGCAAAGCAUAGUCUUGAGUGUAUUUAAGAUACCCCAAAACUCUUUUUAUUGUCAUCCAAUGAGUUUUAUUAGGAUUACUCAUGUACCGACUCAACUUACAAUAACACAUACUAUGUCUGGACGUGUACAAUUUACGAUACACAUUAAACAUCCCAACACUCUUGCAUAGUUCAACUGUGAGUCACUUUCACCUUUAUUCUUUUGAAGUGCAAAGCUCACGUCCAAUGGAGUCUUGGUAAUACCAAAAAUCCAAAUACUUGAACUUGUCAAGUACCUUUUCAAUAUAAUGAGAUUAUAACAAUGCCAGCCUGUGUGGAGUCUUAUGGAUUCUUAUUCCUAAGAUCACAUCCGCAAUUUCAAGGUCUUUCAUAUCAAACUUUCCCCCAAGCAUUCGUUUCGUAGCAUUUAUGUAAGAAAUGUCUCUACUGAUGAUCAACAUGUCAUUCACAUACAAACAAACAAUGACCUUGUGAUUUGGAGUGUCUUUAAUGUAAACACAUUUAUCACAUUUGUUUAUCUUAAACCGUUUGCCAAUCUGGUUUGGUCAAACUUUGCAUGCCACUAUUUGAGUGCUUGUUGUAGUCCAUAAAAUGACUUAACAAGUCUGUACACCUUCUUUUCUUUAUCAAAAAUCACAAAAUCCUCGGGUUGUUCCAUGUAAAUUUCUUUCUCCAAUUCUCAUUUAGGAAUAUUAUUUUCACAUUCAUUUGAUGGAUUUCAAGACCAUAUACUGCCACCAAGGCAAUUAACAUCCGUAUUGGCGAUAUCCUUGUUACAGACGAGUAUGUAUCAAAGUAAUCAAGGUUUUUCUUUCGUUUGAAGCCUUUUACUACAAGUCUUGCCUUGUAUUUGUCAAUAGUACCACCUGCUUUCGUUUUUCUUUUGAAGAUCCAUUUAGAAUCUAAAGGUUUAUUUUCUGGAGAAAUAUCAACCAACUCUCAAGUAUGGUUGUUCAAGAUUGAUUCAAUCUUACUAUUGACUGCCUCUUUAAAAAAGGAUGAGUCUGAAAACGACAUCGCUUUUUUAAAUGUUUGAGGCUUAUUUUCUACGAGGAAUGAUACAAAAUUCGAUCCAAAUAAAGUUGACGUUCUUUGAUGUGUACUACGUCUUGGAUUCUCAUCAUUAUGUACAUCCUCGCUUGAUUCAUUUCGAGGUCGUUUAGACCUUCCAAUAUACUGUUCAUGUCUAGUUUAUAUGGAUAAAUGUGUUCAAAGAACUCAACAUUAUCUGAUUAAAUUACUGUAUUUUCGUUGAUAUUCAAAUGUUUGAAUUUAUGAAUAAAAAAUCGACAUGCUUUACUACUUUUAUCAUAUCCUAUAAACACGCAGUUCACUGUCUUAGGUCCUAUUUUUACCUUUUUAGGCAUAGAAAUUUGGACUUUUGCUAGACACCUCCACACUUUAAAAUAUUUCAAGUUGGAUUUUCUUCUUUUCCAUUUGCAUAUAGAAUUGAUAGUAUCUUACUGUGGGUCACUCUAUUGAGUAUUCAGUUAACUAUAAGGAUAGCCUCCCCCACAAGUUUUGCAGUAAAUCUGAACUUAUAAAUAAGACAUUCAUCAUUUUCUUUAAGGUUUGAUUUUUUCUUUCCGCAAUUCCAUUAGAUUGAGGUGAAUAUGAGGCUGUAGUUUGAUGGACAAUUUCAUUUUCUACACAAAUUUCUGCAAAGGGAGAUUCAUAUUCUCCACCCCUAUCACUUCUUAUUGUUUUGAUCUUUUUCUUUAACUGAUUUUCAACUUCUAUUUUAUAUUUCCUAAACGCAUCUAUUGAUUCAUCCUUACUGUUUAGCAAAUAGACAUAACAAUACCUAGUGCAAUCAUUAAUAAAAGUUAUAAAAUAUUUUUUCACAUCACGAGAUAGUAUUAACUUCAUAUCACAAAUGUCAGUGUAGAUUAAGUCUAAGGGAUUGGAAUUCCUUUCAACGGACUUAUAUGGAUGCUUAGCAUACUUAGAUUCCACACAUGUUUGACAUUUUGAUUUAUUGCUCUCAAAGUUUGGCAAAACUUCUAAGUUAAUCAGUUUUCUCAAAGUUUUGUGAUUGACAUGUCCUAAUCAUUUGUGCCACAAUUCAUUAGUCUCAAGCAAGUAAGAAGAAAUAGAACUUUUCUUAAUUUCAACUGUCACUACAUUCAUCUUAAAUAGGCCCUCGGUGAGGUAGCCUUUUUCUACGUACACUUUCUUUUUACUAAGUACAAUCAUGCCUGAAACAAAUACACAUCUGAAUUCAUUUUUGUCAAGAAGUGAUACGAAAAUCAAGUUCUUUCUCAACUCCGGCACUUAAAGGACGUUGUUGAGAGUUAACACUUUGCCUGAUGUUAUUUUCUGGUAAAUUUUUCCUGUCCCUUCAACUUUUGUAGUUGUGAAGUUUGACAUAUAGAUAUUCUCUUCGCCAUGAGCCGGAGUGAAUAUAGCAAACAAUUAUUUAUUGAUACAAACGUGACGGGUGAAAUCGAAAUCCAUCCACUAUUCUCGAGGAUUUCCCACCAAGUUAUAUUCAGAAAGCAUGACACGUAGAUCGUCCAUUUCAUUCUUGGAUUCAGCCAUAUUCGCUUGAUUCUUCUUUUUGACUUUCUUUGGGGCACGACAAUCUGUUGACUUGUGGCCAAUCUUGCCACAAUUAAAGCAUUUCCCUUGAAUUUCUUCUUAGGUUGAUUUUGUUGUCCAGCUUUCUUCCGCUUGUUCGAGUUGUUGGGAUCGUCUUCUGUAAUGUUAGCUCCACUCAUCACAGAAUUUCCUUUUGACCUCGUCUCUGCGGCUUUUUUGUCUUCCUUAAUGCGCAACCUCAUAAUGAGGUCUUCAACUGUCAUCUCCUUCCUUUUGUGUUUCAAGUAAUUUUGGAAGUCCUUCCACAAAGGUGGCAACUUCUCUAUUAUUGCAGCAACUUGAAAGGCCUCAUUCACAACUAAACCUACAAUAAAGUUCAUGUGAACAUUAAGAACAUUUUUAACAUGUUCAAAUAAGGUAUUCACCAUAUUCAUACCUUCAGCAUGGAGAUCGUGGAUGAUAACUUGCAAUUUCUGUACAAAAAAGUUGCAACAUAGAACUUCUUAGUUUUAGCAUCCUCAGUCAUAUAUUUUAUUUCCAGCGCAUUCCACAACUUUUUUGAUGUCUUCAUUCAACUGUAAACGUUGUAUAAAUUGUCUUGGAGGCCACUUAGGAUAUAAUUCCUACAUAAGAAAUCAGAAUGUUUCCAUGCCUCCAUUACAACGAACUACUCGUUCUCCGAUGUUUUUGUGGACAAUUCUGGAGCAUUCAGAUAUAAAUCUUUGAAGUCACAAGGUUUUCAGAUAGAAGAACAUCUUCUGUUGCCACCGUUUAAAAUCUAUUUCAGAAAAUUUUCUAGGCUUUUUCGCUGGUGCCAUAGCGGGUGGCGCAGUUGUGCGACUUGUCAUAACAAUAUUCUUGCUGCUACACAUGUCCUAUUAUCAGUUACAUGACCAUCAGCAGUCAUUUUUCCUGUCACAACAAGACAGAAAACUUUAGUACAUCAAAAUACUAAUUACAAGUUUGUAACAACUUUAAACAGUAUUUAUUUCUAGUUUAGCGAUGAAAUUUUUAUGUCUUCUAAUCGUUAAUCUAUUUAUCAUAAAGAGAUUCAUCGUUCUUGAUCCUAGUUCACCUUAAUUGUUAUUUGAACAAGUAAAAGUUCUGUCUUGGUCCGAGUGGGGAUAACAUUUCUCUUCUGCAUGUCCAUGGAGUUUUGAAAAAUCCAAACAUGGGUCGUAGUUCGGUAGGAAGAACUGGUUGUAGACAUAAAAUAAGGGGCACUCCGGCUUUUUGUCCUCCAUGCUCCUUCAUAGAGAGUGAAAUCGUUCCAGUUGGAUACCUUUAAUUUGUGAUGAAGUUUUUAUUUUUUCAAAUAACUUGUUAAGUUCAAACAGAGUAGAAAAUGUAAAACUUUAAUCUCUAUAAACUAAACAAUACAGAUUACAGAUUAAUUCCUUAAGAUUGUUGUAUCGGGUACACAAUCUGUAUGUUUAUUACACACUACACUUCAACACAAGUUCAAGAAUAUUUCAAGAACAACAAUGAAGUUUUUAACACCUUAAACACAAGUUCAACAUAAACCAUCAAAGAAGUAUGUUAUCUAAAAGAAAUAAGAUGAAGUAGAAACAGAACCAAGUCUUCCGAUUUCACGGAGUGUACUUAAGGAAUUAAUUCCCCUCAGGUACCCGAGGUUGCAGAAUUUUUCAUCCCAGGAUAAAAUGGCUCACAAUCUGAAUGUAGCAGUACCUCAAACCUUCAGAUUCUCCAAACACACUCAACGACUGAUGAUCACAAAGAGUUUUUCGAAGUAGAAGAGUGUUUUUCAAUACUGAAAAUUUCGUAGAUUCUUGAGGAAAAAUUCAGGUAUUUAUAGUCAUCAAGUGUUCCUUCGGAAAUGAAGCAAUGGUUCAUGGAAAUGUGUAUCACUUCAGAACAGUCAUGUUCGAUCGAACAGCCACCCUUUUUUCAAAAUAAUGUGUCAUUUACUCGAAGAAUUGUGUCCCUUUCGAGGUACGUUUUUGUGUUUCUGCAUGCAUGUUCAUGGAGAAAAUAUUUUUCGUUGAAUUUUUUGAUUAAAAAUUUUACUUUUUUCCUAAGGUUUAAAUAAACUUUGUCUAAAAAAUUAAUCUUAUCGAUUCGAAGCCGAGCGAGCAACGACGACAGCGCGAGGCACCUCUUAGUUCUUGCCUCACUAUCCACUUGAAGGAGUGUUUCUUAAUAAAAACACAAUAAAGCUGUUUUCUCCCACCAAUGUGGGAGAAAUACACUUUCCUUUAGUGAGUACACUUUUCUUUUUUGUGUGAGCUCACUUAUACUUUUCUUUUUUGUGUGAGCUCACUUUCCCUCCAAGAAUUUCCUCUAUUUUCCAUUAACACAUCCUAUUGAACCCAACAGAAAGUGCAUCUUCUUGAAUGAUUUUACGUGAAAUAAAUUUAAAUUAAUCGAGAUAGUAAAUUUUGGAUAGCCAAUAGUUAUAAAAAUAGAAGUGUGGCUGAAAUAAUAGACAUGAAUGAAAAGGAGUGGAGAAGUACAAAAAAAAGUCUAAUAUUAGUGCCAUCAGGCAUAUGCACAUAGCUUUUUGGUGCUUUUGUCAUCCUUAACUAUAUAUAGACUAUAGUACAAGUAAUUAUUAUGGGCGGUAUCUAAAAUAAAGAAUUUUCUCUCUACUUUUUAGUUCCUUUUUCUUGUUUCUACUUUUGGGAGUGUAAGGUAAUUCUUCCUAUAUAUGUGUACAGAGGUCUUGGUGUAUAUUGUUGUUGGGAGGUGACAGAUAUUUCGUGAAACUAGUCGAGGUUAGUAAAAGCUGACUCGAACAUCACAUUCAUCUUAAAAAAAUUGUACUCUACUCUUCAUAUACUAGGACCUAAAUUAUAAAUUUUAGUGAACACUGACAAUUUAUACACUUAGGCAUAGUUUGGCCAUGAAAAUUAUAAUUUUUUGGAGUUGGAGUUGAAAUUUGUUAGUUUUUUUUUUUUAAAAGAUGGGGCAGUGAAAACAGGGUUAAAAUGACUCUCUUUGAAUUGAAAUGACUUUCAAGCUUUCAAUGAGCUUUCAACAGCUUUCAAUAAUUUUAUUAAGCAUUGAGGGGCUUUAAAUAACCAACAUAAAAUAAAAAUCUGCAUAAUUUGAAAUUUAAAACAACCUAAAUUAUUUCAACAACUAACCAAACUAACAAAUAUUUAAAAUUCAAAUUCAUCUUAAUCUAAACAACUUAUUUUGCUAAAAACUAGUGCAGUAACUUAAAGCAAUUUCCAACACUCCUCCUUUACUUUAGUUACUGUGAUUUAAAAACUGCUCCACCUCAAUUUUUACUCUGGCAGUGGAUGCUGAAUUUUUUAUUUUUUUUUGAACUUGCACAUCUCUUUUCUGUUCAUCUUUCUCUUUCUUCUUUUUCUUCUUUUGAUUCUUUGCUGAAAAACCAUCAACAAUCUUGUGUUGUUUGAAAAUACUUUCAUAGACUUUGCAAAAUAUUGUAAGGAUUUUUCAUUCAUCAAAACAUCACAUAAAACAUAGGUUUCAAGAUAUGAUUUCUUCACAGAAUAAAUUUGAUUAUUUUUGCCUGUGAAAAUUUUUGGGGUAUUCAAAGAGAGACUGCUGUUUAACAUUUUUUUGGUUUAAAAUAGCCUUAUGCUUUGAAAAUAAGAAUGAAUUGAAAAAGGUAGCCCUGAUGGGUUAAAAUGGAGCUCUGACGAGUUAAAAAGGUAGCUCUUACCAAUUAAAAGGUAGCCCUUGCGGGAUAAAAAUGGUAUGAUAACGCUUUGGAAGAACUCACAGAUCCCGUAAGAUCAAUGAAGCUCUGAUACCAUUAUUUUUUUUUUAAAUGGGGCAGUAAAAAGGGGUUAAAAUAACUCUCUUUGGAUUGAAAUGACUUUCAAGCUUUAAUAAGCUUUCAAUGACUUUUAAUAAUUUCCUUAAGCUUAGGAGGACCUUAACUAACCAAAUUACAAUAACAAACUGCAUGAUUUAAAAUUUAAAAAACCUAAACUAUCUUAACAACUGAACAACCUAAUUUUAAAAUUCAAAAUUCAUUUUAAUCUAAACAACUUAUUUUGCUAAAAACUAAUGCAGUAACUUAAAGCAAUUUCCAAUAAAAUUGAAGUUGGAGUUGGAGUUCUGCUUGACCAUGAAUAUAAAUUAAAGUUGUUUUUGAAAUUUUGUGAGAGAAGUAUGUGUGAAAAAAGUGAAAACAAGUAAAACUUAUUUUCACUUUUCCAAAUACAAUUUCGGAAUUGUAUUUGAAAUUUUCAUAACCAAAUGCAUUUUGUUUUCACCUUUUUCACUAAAGUAAAAUAAUUUUCAUGGCCAAACGGCUACUUAUUCCAUGUGGAGUUUUAUUGUCAAAUGCAGCCCCCAACCAAUUUAGUAAAAGUUCAUUAGGCUAAUGAGGAAAGUUGGAAAUAUUAUAAUACAUGUUUGGUAUCGACUUGAUAGUAUCCAAGAGUGAUGCUAACAUUUCUCCAAAUAAGCUGUUCAUUUUUCUCGUGGGGGUGGAUAAGGGACCAAAUGAAGUCUUGUCUUCCACUUAAAGCUACAAAUGCAAUUCAUAGGGUGUGUUUGGUGUAAAAAGUUAGUUUCCUAAGAGAAUGAUUUUUAAUAUUGCACGGAGUAGUUUCAAAAAAUAAAGAAACUUUUGAAUUUUGUAAUUUUAAAUUAAAGAUAUGUGAAAUCUGAAAUGUAUCAAAAUGUUCUAUAAUUUUAUGAUUUUAAAUAUGUCGAUUUUAAAUUAAAGAUAUGUGAAAUUUGAAAUGUAUCAAAAUGUUCUAUAAUUUUAUGAUUUUAAAUAUGUCAUAUUGCGAGUUGAAAUUAAAAUUUUUCCAAAAAAGGAAAAUGACAUUUUUUGACAUGAGCUAAAAAGAAAAAGUAAGAAAAACAAACUGAAACAAACAUAUUAUUUUGUACAACUAUAGACAUGAAAAAAAUUAAAAACAUACCAUAGAAGCCACUCCCCUCCUUUCUCAGAUAACCUUGUUCCUAAUCUAAUCACUCUUUACAUACAUGAUACAUAUGCAUCUCAACAUCCCUAUCUUCAUAACGUGCAUCUUUUGAAUAUGGGAAUUCUUAACUAACCAAUACUUCACCUCAUCCAACAAAUACAAUUUAACCAGCACUCUAUAAAACUUAUCGUUAAGUAGAGCCGGCUCCUGGGUAAAGCCAAUGAAGCAAUGGCUUUACGCCCCUAAUUUUUUAAGGCCUCAUUUUUGAAUAAUAAUAAUAAUAAAUUUAUAAAUUUAUUUUAAAAUAAAUAAAUAAUAUUUAAACGAAAAAUAAAAGAAAACUACAAAAGAACUUUGAACAAUCGAAGUAAAUGAAAAAUAUUUUAAAUUUUUUAUUUGGUGUAAAAAUUAAGAUCACCGGUGAUGGGAACAUGAAAAAAUUAUUAUAUUAAUCACGAAAGUUUCUUAAAACAUAAUGUUAAUUAGAUAUUAAUAGUUUUGAUUUAUGUUUUAAAUUAAAAGUGUGAAGGACAUUGAUACAAACUCCGUUCCAUAAUAAGUAAAUUGUUGGAGUAUUUUUUAUGGUUCAAAAUAAAUAAAUGGUUCACAAUUCAAGAUAAAUGUUGAAUUUUUUUUCCAAAUUUAUCCUCCAUUAAAUGUACAUUGGGAGUGAUGUAUCAUGUUCUUUGCUUUUUGAGGAGGGUAAAAAUGAAAAAACAUGAUAAAUUUAUGUCUUUGCUUUUUUUUCUUAAUAUGUGUGCUAAAAUUUAAUAAUUAACUUAUUGUGAAAUGGAGAAAAUAAUUUUUUACUAUACGGAAUCAAAUAAAAAAAAUUAAUUAUUUUCACAUGCUUAUAUUUAAGAUCUCUAAAAGUAUUUAAGGUCUCUCAUUAUGAUUCGACUUUAGACCACGAAAUUGGUUGAGCCGCUCCUGACGUUAAGCUUAAAUGGUACGUACCUUUUUGUCACACAAUCUCAAACUCAAGUCAAAGUCCAAACCCCACUAUAUAAACAAACUAUUUAAAAUAAUAAUAUCAAAGAAUUUAGAUAAAAUUUUCAAAAAAUACACAAUCCAAUUUGGUCCCCCUCUUUCUCUUCGCCGUCGCCGGUAUUUUCUAUCUCACAAAUUACUUUGUUUAAGCGUUUAUUAACUAUCAAUUUUGUAGUACUUUUGUUUAACUUUUUGCUCAAUUUUCUUCGUUAUAAUCUGUGUAUAAAAUUUGAGUAUAUGAAAUGAAUUUAAUUUCUGUGUACUUUAAGUAUGCAAAAUAUUCUACACUCUCAAUUUUAGAAAAAAUUGGGUAGCAUGCAAUAACAGUUCAAGUUUACGUGAUAGUGUAGGAUAUUUUGUAAACUCAUGAAAUUUGACAAGGGGAGCGAUGAAGUAACCGGUAACGUUGCUGCAAUGGGACGAGGUGACGGGUUCAAACAACGGAAAUAGCCUCUUGCAGAAAUGCAAGGUAAGACUGCGUACGAUAGACCCUUGUGGUCGGACUUGGGCCUGCUCCUAAAUAUUGCACGUUGCGGGAGCUUUAGUGUAUCGGAUUUCCUUUUAUUUAAUUAAAAAAAAUGAAUAAUUUAAGUUUUGUGCACCGUCUGUGUACAAAAUAUUCUACAUUAUUUGGUAAGGGUGAUCUGCAAUAGCAUGCAACAUGCAAUAGUAGGUUAAGUUUACCUGAUGGGAUAGGGUAUUUUGUUCAGUGACAGUGCACAAAACUUAAAACUCCAAAAUGAAAUGAGCCAUACAGUGCGAGGCAAUUUACGUGUCGAAUAAGUAAAUGCUUGAAAAUGUUUGAUUGACAGUGAUGUGGACUAAGGUGUUGCACACUGAAUUACUGGUGUUUUUGUACUGUUUUUAGCUCAAUCAAAAGGGAAAUUGUUGGAUGUUUGCUUUUCGACUGGUUUAGGGUUGCUUUUGUUGUGUUUUGAAUUCUAUCGUCAUCUGUUGUUUAUGGUGUUCCAUUUGUUGCAUUAAUUUGUUGUUGUUACUGUUUCCUUAUUAGUUGCUAUUUCUUCAUCGUCAUUUUACCAUUUCAUACCUACUUUGCUUUGCGUAUACUCUAUACCCUCCCCCGACUCCAUUUGUGAAUUCAUCGGGUAUGGUGUUGUUGUUGUAUUAGAUAUUUGCUUUUCUGUGUUUGCCGUGUAGUUCUCUUCUUUACUUUUAGGGCUCAAUGUUGUUCCUUUUGCGCUGCGAAUGAUAGGCUAAUGGGGUGAUUCGUAUAAUCCUUAAUGGAUUACAAUGCAUAUUUAUGUUUGUUAUGAGGAAGUAGAAACUAAAAGCAAUUUCAUUGAAUAUUACUCCCUCUGUUUCAAUUUGUUUGUUUGGUUCUGAAUUUUCACGGAGUUUUGGACGGUAAAGAAAGACUUUUGAAUCUUAUGAUCGUAAACUAAAGAUAUGUCAAAUGUAUUAAAAUGUCCUUCAAUCUUGUGCUCUUAAACAUGACAUCUGAAAAGUUGAAAUUAAGAGUUGUCAAAAAAAAAGGAAUGAGACAUUCUAAUGAACUAAAAUGGAAAGUAGGACAAACAAAUUGAAAUGGAGGGAGUAGUGUUGGAAUGGAUUAAGCUCAACUAGAGCGGAAUUGACAUAGAGUAUACAUAUAGCCAACCCGAUAAGUUUUUGAUUGAGGCAUUGUUAUUAUUACUCCGUUUGUUCAGGCACAAAAGUAAUGGCGCUCUUGGCACUUCCCAUAUUCCUUUUUCUUUGUAAUAUUAUGUUUCAAACUGAUUAGUCAUAAAUUCAUUCCCAUCAUCCCAUGUGUGUUGACCUCUGUAUGCUAUCAAUAUGAGAGUUUGCUUAAAAAGCACUGGCUUUUUUCCUGUCGCAGGGAUUCAAGAUGAUUGGAUCUUUUCUCACCAGAGGGCUUGUGUGAGUUUGAAAAAAAUCCCAUUAAAAGUGUUUAAACACUAGUAAUCCUACUUUUUCUAUUGAUGAACAUCCAUAAUCACGCCCUUUCCUUUUCCUCGCGCAGGAUGGUUUUUGGUUAUGCUUAUCCUGCUUACGAGUGCUUUAAGACUAUAGAAAUGAAUAAACCUGAUAUUCAGGAACUUCGCUUUUGGUGCCAGUAUUGGUAUAUUGCAGCAUUUGCUCUUUCGAUUUGUAAAGUAUCUUCUCGUGAAUCUUGGCUGUAACUUCGUCAUUCCUCCUAAUUUUCAGGAUCUUAAUUGCUCUAUUGACAGUUUGUGAAAGGUUCGGUGAUGCUUUUGUUUCAUGGUAAUCAUAAGAAAAUUUUGGCUGUUCAUAGGAACUUGUGUUAAUUCCAUCUUGUGUUAAUGCUCUUGUUAUGCUUUGAAGGGUUCCAAUGUACAGUGAAGCUAAGUUGGCAUUCAUCAUAUAUUUGUGGUGCCCCAAAACUAAGGUAUUCUGCAUAAUAUCCUCUCCUGUUUGAAAGAAAUUUUAAUCUUUGAUUAGUUCCGGUGGCAUCUUUUUCUAAUUAUUUUGUGUUAUCAUAAAAUUGUUGCAGGGAACAACAUAUGUCUACGAUUCCUUCUUUAAACCUGUAGUGUUAAAGCAUGAAAAUGAGAUUGAUCGUAAUUUGUUGGAGUUGAGGACAAGAGCUGGAGAUAUGGCCUUUCUAUACUGGCAGAACUCUGCUAGCUAUGUGCAGACGAGGUUUUUUGAUAUAUUGCAGUAUAUCGCUUCUCAGUCAACUCCUCGUCCAACUCAGGUUUAUCAAUGUUUUUGGGAGCUUAUCUUGCCAUCUCAAGUGUAUUCUAUCUUUGAGUCAUGCACAAAUUUGCUUCUCGAGUUAUGCAAAUGACUGUAAUUUAUUAAAUCAUAUGGUUAGAUUCACAGCUGAGAUCUUAUUUUUCUGAAGUCACAUUUAUUCCAUCUUUUGGGGCUUUGCAGAGUAUAUUAGGUUGUGCUGCAGUUCUUACGAGAUUGUGGGUAGUGAAUGCUGUUACGGACUAAUUCAUACUUAGAGAGAUGGGAAUGGAAGAAUUAGAAAGACUUUUGAAUCUUAUGAUCGUAAACUAAAGAUAUGUCAAAUGUAUUAAAAUGUCCUUCAAUCUUGUGCUCUUAAACAUGACAUCUGAAAAGUUGAAAUUAAGAGUUGUCAAAAAAAAGGGNNNNNNNNNNNNNNNNNNNNNAUUAUAAUGAACUAAAAUGGAAAGUAGGACAAACAAAUUGAAAUGGAGGGAGUAGUGUUGGAAUGGAUUAAGCUCAACUAGAGCGGAAUUGACAUAGAGUAUACAUAUAGCCAACCCGAUAAGUUUUUGAUUGAGGCAUUGUUAUUAUUACUCCGUUUGUUCAGGCACAAAAGUAAUGGCGCUCUUGGCACUUCCCAUAUUCCUUUUUCUUUGUAAUAUUAUGUUUCAAACUGAUUAGUCAUAAAUUCAUUCCCAUCAUCCCAUGUGUGUUGACCUCUGUAUGCUAUCAAUAUGAGAGUUUGCUUAAAAAGCACUGGCUUUUUUCCUGUCGCAGGGAUUCAAGAUGAUUGGAUCUUUUCUCACCAGAGGGCUUGUGUGAGUUUGAAAAAAAUCCCAUUAAAAGUGUUUAAACACUAGUAAUCCUAUUUUUUCUAUUGAUGAACAUCCAUAAUCACGCCCUUUCCUUUUCCUCGCGCAGGAUGGUUUUUGGUUAUGCUUAUCCUGCUUACGAGUGCUUUAAGACUAUAGAAAUGAAUAAACCUGAUAUUCAGGAACUUCGCUUUUGGUGCCAGUAUUGGUAUAUUGCAGCAUUUGCUCUUUCGAUUUGUAAAGUAUCUUCUCGUGAAUCUUGGCUGUAACUUCGUCAUUCCUCCUAAUUUUCAGGAUCUUAAUUGCUCUAUUGACAGUUUGUGAAAGGUUCGGUGAUGCUUUUGUUUCAUGGUAAUCAUAAGAAAAUUUUGGCUGUUCAUAGGAACUUGUGUUAAUUCCAUCUUGUGUUAAUGCUCUUGUUAUGCUUUGAAGGGUUCCAAUGUACAGUGAAGCUAAGUUGGCAUUCAUCAUAUAUUUGUGGUGCCCCAAAACUAAGGUAUUCUGCAUAAUAUCCUCUCCUGUUUGAAAGAAAUUUUAAUCUUUGAUUAGUUCCGGUGGCAUCUUUUUCUAAUUAUUUUGUGUUAUCAUAAAAUUGUUGCAGGGAACAACAUAUGUCUACGAUUCCUUCUUUAAACCUGUAGUGUUAAAGCAUGAAAAUGAGAUUGAUCGUAAUUUGUUGGAGUUGAGGACAAGAGCUGGAGAUAUGGCCUUUCUAUACUGGCAGAACUCUGCUAGCUAUGUGCAGACGAGGUUUUUUGAUAUAUUGCAGUAUAUCGCUUCUCAGUCAACUCCUCGUCCAACUCAGGUUUAUCAAUGUUUUUGGGAGCUUAUCUUGCCAUCUCAAGUGUAUUCUAUCUUUGAGUCAUGCACAAAUUUGCUUCUCGAGUUAUGCAAAUGACUGUAAUUUAUUAAAUCAUAUGGUUAGAUUCACAGCUGAGAUCUUAUUUUUCUGAAGUCACAUUUAUUCCAUCUUUUGGGGCUUUGCAGAGUAUAUUAGGUUGUGCUGCAGUUCUUACGAGAUUGUGGGUAGUGAAUGCUGUUACGGACUAAUUCAUACUUAGAGAGAUGGGAAUGGAAGAAUUAGAAUUUCAGCAGAAAUUUGUCUAUGUUUAUUGCGUGCAUUUUGUUGCCUAUCUAGAAUGACUCUCCCACCUACAAUCUUCUCUCCUAUAUUGAGUUUGUUGAGUUUAAAAUUUCGUUUUUAGAGGGUCAAUUAUGAUCUUUUUCUUGAAAUUGCAGCCACAGAAGCAAAGCAGUAGAGGUCGCCAACGUACUGUAACACCCCCAAAAGAAAGAUCAGCUGCCCCAGCAACAAAGGUGCAGACGGAAAAACAAGCCUCUGCUGCUUCUACUGAAUCUUCAAGUGAAAAUGAAGCAGACACAAAAGAAAAGGUGAAGCCCUCACAACCGCCUCCAGUGGCUGCCCCUGCUUCUGCUUCCUCCUUAAUUGAACAAAAAACAACUCCAACUGAAGCCCUCACCCAAACCACCAAAGCUUCGAGUUCUAGUGAAAUUGAAGUGAUGCAGAUUGAUCAAGUACCUUCCUUGGAUGAUCAAAUUGCAAAACCUCCUGUCGACACAGUCAUGGAGGAAGCAGUUCGAGUAACACGUGCCAGAUCAAGGAGGACAAGGCCUGCACCCAAUCCUUGACUUAGCUUGUGGCAUCCGGUCCUUACACAUGUUAGUUUGAAGGAUCUGUUUAGAUGGUGUGGCUAAAAGGAUAUAUUCUAAGAUGUUGAGUACAUUGUACAUGUCAUAUCUUCUUUCAUUACUGAGGCUGUCUAUGAUUUUUGAGCAUGGAUUGAGAAAUGAGGGGGAGGUUAAUUCAUAGUUCAUCUUGUGGGGGAACUUACCAGCUAGCAGCUGUUCGCCUGUUCCUGCUCUGACGAUGAUCAUGAGCCAACAAAACUUUUAGCUAGCUCCUUAGAUUUUUUCUGUAAAAGCAGAAGCCAGAUACAUAUCGCGCUGUACUUGAAGUAGAACUCAGUUCCGAAUUCUUCAUGCUCUACUAUUUUGUCACCAUUGCUUCCUCUCUCAAGGCUUUUGCUGUAUGUAAAAGAUGGUUUUUCCUUGCUUCAAUUGGGUAGAAGGAUUGUGUUGGGCUAAGAUAUUUUACAUUAUAUGAAGCCUCACUUUCUACCUGGUAGAGGUAAGGUUUGCAUACGUUCUACCUACUCAGGCCCCAAUUUGUUGGAUUAUACUGCUAAUGUAGUUGUACGAAGCCUUCACUAUGUAGCGUAGCCAUCCUUAUUCACGACCCAUACUAGAAAAAUUGCAACGCAUGUAAUGGAACACACAGAAAGGCGUUGGCUGGAGAUUUAUACCUCAAAACUGAUGCUUUAGAGCUUUCUAUUGGCAUCAAUUCAAUCUAAUAUUUAGUGAUCUCUUCCUCUUUUCUAUGUUUGAGAAAUCCUAUUCUGCUUGUCAAUAAUCACCCUGUUCUAAUAUCGAAAUUAUAUGAGACUGUCUAGGGUUUUAACUUAAUUAUUAUUGUAAUAAUUCGAAACAAACCGACAAGUACAACUAGUCCCGACAUUAAGAACAACAACAAAUUCAAUGUAAUUUCACAUGUGAGGUAUGAAAAAGGUCCACAAAUCUUACUCUUACUUUGAGAAGCUAUAUUGUUUCCGAUAAACCCUCGACUGAAUGAUCGAUGAAAAGUUUCGUCAUAAUUACAAAACGUUGAAUUGGAAGGCCAUGCAUGACUGCAUGCAGACGGACAAUUGGUUUUCAUUAAUGAAACUGUAACCAAUUUUAUUCUUCUUUUUAUUUCUCUACUUAAAUAUAUUCUAACAUGUCUAUAUUCGUUGUCAUCGAUGGUCUACCAUGCAACAAGUCAAUUUGCAGACUUGUGAAGCUUACUCAUAAUUUCUUUGUUUUCUCGAGACUCGAAGUACAAAAAUUUUGCUCAAUUUUGUAAUAGAGUUAAUUGAUAUAUAUAUUAAUCGUCACAACAUUAACCCCUCUAAUAUUUUACGAGGAAAAAAUAUAUUAUUUCAUUCAAUAACCAUGCUAGUAAAAUUCAUGAAUAUUUCAGUACUAGCAUGCAUGUCUGCAAUAUUUCACUAACAACAUGCUACCUCUAGUUCACUAUUAUUAGAUGUAGAUAAAAUUUUUCCAUGUUGCUUAAUUGUUCACAAGUUAAAACCACUGAAAUUCCGGCCCAAUAGGCCAUACAUUACACUAUCUUUAAUGUCUGUAGCUUCUUGUAAUAUCUUAAACUCUUGCCCCAUAGAUAAAACUAUUUUUUUCGCAACUAGAACUUCUGAAUUAUAUUGUUAGAGUACGUGCCGUACUAAUCAGUGACUUUAACGUAAAAGUUGUCUAUGACGUAAAAGUUGUCUAUGGAUGAAACGGGUUGCCUGACAUGUUCUAAGAAAGCAGUAAAACAGGAAGUAAAGAACAUAAUGAUUUUUACGUGAAAAACACCCGGCUAAAAAAUGUGUAAAAAAAACAAGACCUGUACCGCUACAUAACUUCACUAAAUAACUGUGAGCCUCAACAACGACAGAUUACAAAACUCUUGCAAUCAACAACUAGGAAUUCUAAACUCUAAUUCCUAUACCUCAAUAACUGGAAUUAUAAACUCUAAUUCCUAUAACUCAAUAACUAGAAUUAUAAACUCUAAUUCCUUUUAACUCAACCAUCAACCUUGACUGUUGAACCCACUUCGAGUUAUCCCAAACUUGAAGUUAACUCAUCUCAGUAUUGUUCCUAAACAAUCAAUCUAGGAAAACAAUAAAUUACAACUCAAUAAGAACAAUACAUUUAAACUGACUCAUGAACUGUAAAGUUUAAUCUCUUGAAACAGGUUCGUCAAUCUGUUCCUUCGUAUUGACAACACUUGAAUCUUCAGUCAGAAUUCUCUCAAUUAUGAACUUUUUCAAUUUGCUCGUGUUUAGCCUUUUCUCUCUCUGUAAGUGCGCAAGUUUUCCUUUGUACGGGCAACACUUGAAUCUUCAGUCAGAAUUCUCUCAAUUAUGAACUUUCUCAAUUUGCUCGUGUUUAGCCUUUUCUCUCUCCGUAAGUGCGCAAGUUACUAUGAAUGAUGCAUCUUCUAUUUAAGCACAACUCUCUAAUGAGUCAAUUCUUUAUUUCAAACUCUUCCUUUAAUCAGAACUUUCAUUGCAUAGAGUUCUACUUCAAGUGAGACUCUUUCUUCAAUUCCAACUCUUGUCUCAUUAGUGUUGUAGUCAAACUCCAACUCUUUAAAUCAUCUUAUCUUCAAGUAUUUUACUCUACCACAACUUCUUCAAUUUCUCAUGUGAUUAGUAACUUGAGUAUAUCAGAAUUUGGCUCGCUCAUUCAUUCCUGACUUUAAGCAAUCUUUGUCUGCAUCUAUCAGUGAAAUCUGAAACCUGUUUUCCUAUGCUUGGACCAACUCAAGUAACAUGGUCCAUUCAUGUGUCAGCCAUCAAAAACUUGAUUGAUCUAACAAAGAGUCCUUCAAUUAGUAUGUUUCCUAUCUUGCGUAGACUUCUUCAAUCACUAGAAUUUUUCUCCUUCUACACAUAGGACUAUUCAGGAUAUGCUCAGAAGUGAAACUCCUUCUUUCCAUAGGACUCCUUUUUCAACUCAAAUUGUUUUUCCUUUAUCAUCAAGUGCUUGAAUCAAAUUCAACUUCUUCA
RNAcentral lists this long non-coding RNA (20522 nucleotides) under Capsicum annuum. Its description in RNAcentral is "long non-coding RNA (CANN_LNC018456)". The record is from RNAcentral. Lineage: Eukaryota; Viridiplantae; Streptophyta; Magnoliopsida; Solanales; Solanaceae.